CCCACCAAACGAUGACUGAUUUCCUUUGGUGCUUAGAGUCCCAUCUGUCAUCUAGCACCAUUUGAAAUCGGUUAUAAUGACUGGGGAUCAAUUCUUCA
This 98-nucleotide microRNA precursor is filed under the name Danio rerio (zebrafish). Its description in RNAcentral is "microRNA 29a-1 (ENSDARG00000081841.3)". The stretch from base 10 to 77 matches the Rfam family "mir-29 microRNA precursor family". Rfam says of the family: This family represents the microRNA (miRNA) precursors mir-29. Animal miRNAs are transcribed as ~70nt precursors and subsequently processed by the Dicer enzyme to give a ~22nt product. In this case the mature sequence comes from the 3' arm of the precursor. The record is from RNAcentral. Lineage: Eukaryota; Metazoa; Chordata; Actinopteri; Cypriniformes; Danionidae.